Molecule: ribosomal RNA, 633 nt
Filed under: Rhodotorula mucilaginosa
Lineage: Eukaryota; Fungi; Basidiomycota; Microbotryomycetes; Sporidiobolales; Sporidiobolaceae
Description: eukaryotic LSU rRNA
Rfam family: 5.8S ribosomal RNA (bases 199-352)
Source: RNAcentral
UCACUAAUNNCCUUUCCGUAAGGGGACCUGCGGAAGGAUCAUUAGUGAAUAUAGGACGUCCAACUUAACUUGGAGUCCGACCUCUCACUUUCUAACCCUGUGCAUUUGUUUGGGAUAGUAACUCUCGCAAGAGGGCGAACUCCUAUUCACUUAUAAAACGCAAAGUCUAUGAAUGUAUUAAAUUUUAUAACAAAAUAAAACUUUCAACAACGGAUCUCUUGGCUCUCGCAUCGAUGAAGAACGCAGCGAAAUGCGAUAAGUAAUGUGAAUUGCAGAAUUCAGUGAAUCAUCGAAUCUUUGAACGCACCUUGCGCUCCAUGGUAUUCCGUGGAGCAUGCCUGUUUGAGUGUCAUGAAUACUUCAACCCUCCUCUUUCUUAAUGAUUGAAGAGGUGUUUGGUUUCUGAGCGCUGCUGGCCUUUACGGUCUAGCUCGUUCGUAAUGCAUUAGCAUCCGCAAUCGAACUUCGGAUUGACUUGGCGUAAUAGACUAUUCGCUGAGGAAUUCUAGUCUUUGGACUAGAGCCGGGUUGGGUUAAAGGAAGCUUCUAAUCAGAAUGUCUACAUUUUAAGAUUAGAUCUCAAAUCAGGUAGGACUACCCGCUGAACUUAAGCAUAUCAAUAAGGCGGAGGAA